RNAcentral lists this ribosomal RNA (860 nucleotides) under bioreactor metagenome. RNAcentral's name for it is "bacterial SSU rRNA". It matches the Rfam family "Bacterial small subunit ribosomal RNA", at positions 594 to 1456 of the family's 1533-position model. The record is from RNAcentral.
GUGAAAUCCAAUGGCUCAACCAUUGAACUGCAUUUGAAAACUGUUGACCUAGAAUAUGGGAGAGGUAGAUGGAAUUUCUGGUGUAGGGGUAAAAUCCGUAGAGAUCAGAAGGAAUACCGAUUGCGAAGGCGAUCUACUGGAACAUUAUUGACGCUGAGACGCGAAAGCGUGGGGAGCAAACAGGAUUAGAUACCCUGGUAGUCCACGCCCUAAACGAUGUACACUAGUUGUUGUGAGGCUAGACCUUGCAGUAAUGCAGUUAACACAUUAAGUGUACCGCCUGGGGAGUACGGUCGCAAGAUUAAAACUCAAAGGAAUAGACGGGGACCCGCACAAGCGGUGGAGCAUGUGGUUUAAUUCGACGAUACGCGAAGAACCUUACCUGGACUUGACAUAGAAAGAAUAACGCAGAGAUGUGAUAGUGCUAGCUUGCUAGAACUUUCAUACAGGUGCUGCACGGCUGUCGUCAGCUCGUGUCGUGAGAUGUUGGGUUAAGUCCCGCAACGAGCGCAACCCUCGUCGUUAGUUGCUAACAGUUCGGCUGAGAACUCUAACGAGACUGCCUGGGUAACCAGGAGGAAGGUGAGGACGACGUCAAGUCAUCAUGGCCCUUACGUCCAGGGCUACACACGUGCUACAAUGGGGCAUACAAAGAGCAGCGAUACCGCGAGGUGGAGCAAAUCUCAAAAAUGCCUCCCAGUUCGGAUAGUAGUCUGCAACUCGACUACUUGAAGUUGGAAUCGCUAGUAAUCGUAGAUCAGCAAUGCUACGGUGAAUACGUUCCCGGGUCUUGUACUCACCGCCCGUCACACCAUGGGAGUUGAACUCAUUCGAAGCGGGGAUGCUAAAGUAGCUACCCU